GGAACGAACGCUGGCGGCGUGGAUAAGACAUGCAAGUCGAACGGGAUAUUCUUGGUAGCAAUAUCAAGGAUGUCUAGUGGCGUAAGGGUGCGUAACACGUGGGGAAUCUGCCGAGAAGUGGGGGAUAGCUCGUCGAAAGGCGAAUUAAUACCGCAUGUGGUUAGUGAAGACAUCUUCACGAUACCAAAGCCGGGGCAACCUGGCGCUUCUUGAUGACCCCGCGGCCUAUCAGCUAGUUGGUGAGGUAAUGGCUUACCAAGGCGACGACGGGUA
This 273-nucleotide ribosomal RNA is filed under the name uncultured bacterium. Its description in RNAcentral is "partial small subunit ribosomal RNA". It matches the Rfam family "Bacterial small subunit ribosomal RNA", at positions 27 to 285 of the family's 1533-position model. The record is from RNAcentral.